GCGGGGCUGCUCUGUGGGACCUGCGCUCGCCCGUUCGUUCCUGCCGGUCGUGGCUUUAUGCGGCUACGAGUCUUCGUGCAGCCGCAUAACGAACCGGAAUGGACGCCUCUUCUAGAGUAAAAAAUACUCGUUUCCUCAGGAACUGGCUGCUCCUGGUUCGUGCGUGGGGUAAGAGGCUCAGAGACGUCCUGACAUCACCAUGACCACGAUUUCACCAGACUGACGCACUGUGAGGUUGUUACCGUCUGAAAUCUCUACUCCUGGAAAGAGAAUUCUCUGUUUGAGAUGAAUAAUAGGUUGAAUAUGGUAUGUGACAGCUCUGUAGACUCUGAAGAUAUAACAUGAACAAAUAUAUUGUUCUGGAAAGCUGGCGUAGGAACGCUACUGAGGAUUUAGAAGGAUCUCGACUACCAGACAGGGAAUCAUUCAGAAGACUUUGAUCUAGGAUGACACUUCACUCCUACAAACCUGCCAGCAAGUCAUGGCAGUCUCCCCCUGAGUCAAGCUCGUGCCGUGCUCCGCUGCUGCCUGUCUCCUCAGCAUCCUGAGUAGCCUCGUCAGUGCCUGCCUGUGAGUCAUGCUGUAAAGCACACACCAAGGAAAUCUGUGGCCCCAUCCCCUGGUUCAUGCUACUGGUGACCUGACUUUCAUCCGAGCAGUUUUACAGACGGAGCGUUGUGAAAUCUGACAUUUGUAGCCCUAAAUCUCGGGCCUGUUUGCUGUGUAAAACCUUUCACCCCACAUGCAUUUUUUAUGAAUGGAUUGAAAAACACGAGAAAUCAAACCUGCAGCUCCAAGCCGUGUCGCGGUGCGCGGAGCGGGGCAGUGCCCCUGCCCACGAGGCCGCUCCGGCAUCCCAGGGGCUCUCAUGCAGGGAUGCUUCCAGCUGUGCCGGGCUCGGGUGCAGGCGUGAUGGUGGUAAAACACUGCGGAGAAGCACCGCACCGGCGGGUCUGUGGGCCACUGGAGGGAUGCAGGUGGCAUGAUGCCCUGGGCACGGUGCUGGGGAGCAGGAUGAGAGCCUGGAUGUGCUGGGGAUCCCAAGACCGAUCAGCUACAGCUGGAGACAGCCCAGGAACGGCACACCUGAACCUUGUGUUGGGAAGGUGCCAUAAAUAAGGCAGUUUCUGGAGCCCUUCAUGGCAAUCAUUCUCGGUUCUGUUGUUUUAGGGCGGUGAUUGCCACUUUGGAUGGU
Molecule: long non-coding RNA, 1195 nt
Organism: Chroicocephalus ridibundus (black-headed gull)
Lineage: Eukaryota; Metazoa; Chordata; Aves; Charadriiformes; Laridae
Exons: 5
Source: RefSeq, a predicted model, not a curated record